ACGGCGUACGACAUCGGUUUUUCGCUAUAAUUCGGUAUAAUUCGAGGUAGUCCACCCUCACCCAAAGUUAAGGUUUCAUGGGAAUAUUAUUGUCAUAAUUGUCUGGACCAUAUAUGAUAUUUGUUUAAUGGUAGUUAUUGACAGAUCUUGAAGAUGUCAAGUUAUAGGUGCAUAAGACUAUGUUGUUCAUGCACGUUCAUUGUAAGAGGGGAAGAGAUGUGUAUUUUGGGCUAACUCAAAUUCCGUAGUAGAAAAACCCCGGAAGUGGGAUGGGCGCAUUCUGUGUUGUUGUGGUACGCCCUGUGAACGCACUGUGAGUAAGGAAUAAAGCAGUUAUCAUUCACGUCGUUGUCCGACCUAUGCUUGCGAUCUAAGCACCUGGAAAAUAAUGGGACCGGCUCGUUUCUGAGAAACAAACUCAGUGCUCCCACUAAUUCAACGUAAUGGCAGAAUCUCUUCGUGGGCCGACGAACAAAACUGGACAGUUGCGGGAGACCUUUCAGAUGAUCUGAAGAGCGCACGUCACAGGAUAUGAUGAAGCUGGCAUCACAACAUGUGUCCUCCCUCACACAGCCUGCUGUCAGGACUCCGCGCCCCUCCGUAAAAAUCCAAUCACUGUGAGUAUGCAAAUGAGGCAAGACGUGCCAGAGAGUGUCAAGUUACAGUCAGCGCGGUAGGAGUUGGAAGAAGCAGUAAAAACUCCACCAAACCCGUCGUAAUGACCCGUGAUAUAACUAAUGAUUAACGACAACUCAAAUAAUAACAUUCAUAUUAUAUGUUCCCCCCCCCUGAGAGAUUGCCACCAUAUUGUGGUCAGGGGGUUUGCGUGCCUCAGUGACCCUAAGAGCAAUACCAGCAGAAGCUUUAAUCUUCAGGUGGGACACCCAAGAUGGACAGGUCAGUGUAGAGGCCUGACAGAGUGCAAUCCACUUCUCCAGGUUGAGGUCUGGACACACAGCGCACAACUGCUGUGAAGAAAACACCAACAGUGUUAAAAAUGUGUAAAAAAAAAAAGAACACGCCCCCUUCAAAUUUCUGACUGCCGCCUCUUAUGUGCAUUCCUAGAACCGGCCCUGUAUGCCGCCCAAAAAAAUGAGGGCUACAAUGAACUCAAAUCAUCCAUUGACUUGAUACGGCAAGACCUUACCACACUCUUAGAGCAGCAAGCCACCCUGCUCCAGCUAACGUCUGAACUAACGGAGCUUAAGAAAUUAUCCAAGGAGAAAGAUGAGAAAAUCUUGUCGCUUGAACGGAGAGUCGAUGCACUGGAGCAGUACUCCCGACAAGAAGACCUCAUAAUUACUGGUCUUAAAACAUCACACCGCUCCUAUGCCAGGGCGGCGGGUCCUCCAGAUCCUUCGACAGAUGACUCUCCAUCGGACGAACUGUCAAUGCUUGAAAAUUAGGUAGUACAGUUUUUCGAGAGUAAGCAUAUAGAACUCCGGAAAGGAAACAUUGCCGCUUGUCAUACACUCCCAAGAAACCGAAAACGACCAAAAGAUGCUCCGAAAAUUAUCAUUCGGUUCGUCAAUAGGAAACAUAAAGUGGAUCUUUUGAAGCAAGGGAGGAAACUACAAGGAACGGGUGUUUACCUAAAUGAGCACCUCACUAAGAAGAAUGCUGAGUAGCCUGGAACGCACGCAAACUGAAGAAGGAAAACAAGAUUCUUGCAACGUGGGUCAGAAUCUGCAAAGUAUGGAUUAAAACGAACGGAGCAACACCAGAAGAUGUCAAGACUCUCGUUGUGAGUGAACUGGAGGAACUGAAGAUGUAUGGCCUGGUGGUGGGGGAAUCUAACAUCUACAAUAGUUUGAAAAAGGUCAUCCAGAGUUCACCCAGCCCCCCAUCUGCUCAGAAUGGACCCAAAAUGGUACCGUUCGUUUGUGCUUCGUUAGUGCUGGUUUGUGCAGCAAAAAGUUUCGUUUGUGCUGCUUCCGUUUCGGAGAUAUUAGACAUUUAUUUUAUAGCGAUGACGUCUGGUAGCCCCGCCCCCUUGUUUACUUCCGAACGACCCAAAAUAGUGCCGUUCGUUCGUUUGUUUGGUUUGUGCUGGUUUGUGCUGCAAAAAUGGUACCGAUUGUGCCGGCUGCUACGGUUUUGCAGAUAUUACACAUUUAAUUCAUAGCGAAGACGUCACCCAGCCCCACGUCACUGUAUUUUGUCGCGAAUUUCAAGCUCCUGGAAUGCUCCUGAUGCAGGACGAAUACAAGGUCAUUAUAAAUCUCCCAGGCAUAUGCAGUCCUCCUGCAGUAUGCCACAUAAUGCCCGAGAGAAUCCUGGGUCAGUCCUGGUUCAAAGCCAAUGACUGCUCUCAAAGUAAAGGUCUUCUCUUUUAGCUCCAGACUGGAGGGAAAUUCAAGCAAGGCAACUUCCUUGCAACUGCUACCAAGAGUUUUGAAUGAAGACGGACACCGGGAAGGAUUUUCAAUUGGCCUGAGGCAGAGAGAGUCAGGAAGGCUGAGUCCCUCUUCAGCAGCAGUCUGAAGAGAAGCCAUGCCACAGUGGAGAUGUGGCAUUGUGCAUCAAUUUGGAGAGCACCAGAGGUCAGGAGGACAGGUUUGAAUAUUUCCCCCAGCAGUUCUGCCCUCUGUGAGUAUACCUUGGUUACCCCGGAUGUCCGCGCUGAAUAUUUUUACACUGAAUUUUUGGAGACAUCGAAUUUUUUUACACUGAAUUUUUUUAGACAUUGAAUUUUUUUACAUUGAAUUUUUCGAGAUGUCGAAUUUUUUUACACUGAAUUUUUUAAGACAUGGAAUUUUUUGACACUGAAUUUGAACUGACAUUGAAAAAAAUGUCUUAGGAAAAAAAAAAUUCAGUGCUAGAAAUUCGAUGGCUUUUAAAAUUCAAAGUCUGAUUUAGAUGCAAAAAAAAAUUCAGUGUUAAAAAUUGGAUGUAAAAAAAUUCAGUGCUACAAAUUCGAAUUCAAAAUCCGAUGGCACAGAUAAACUUCCAUACACCUCCGUGGCUGGAAGUCCACGCCGCCACACGCCUGAAAGUUUGUUUUGUUAAAUAAAGAGCCGUUUACCAAA
Syngnathus typhle (broad-nosed pipefish) is the source of this 3029-nucleotide long non-coding RNA. RefSeq lists it as uncharacterized. The record is from RefSeq and is a predicted model, not a curated record. Lineage: Eukaryota; Metazoa; Chordata; Actinopteri; Syngnathiformes; Syngnathidae. The transcript is spliced from 7 exons.